AAAAAAAAAUGGAAGCCAAAUGCCCGCCAAGCCAAGCUUCUCACACUCACAGCUCUCUGUAUCAUGAGUCGCCGCUUCCCGCAAUUUGUUCCCACCAGAUUCCACCUUCACACCUCUUCAAACUCCAAUUUCUCCUCUUCUCCUCGUCUCCUUCCCAAAGAGCCAAGAAUCCCUAAAUCCCGACUCUCAACCCCGAUUCCACUAGAGAAACUGUUAGCAGAGCACCGAAGAUCUCGCGGCCAAUCCCCUAACCAUGUUGCCGCGGAAAUCUCAUCUCAAGAAUCCAAUCGGGAGCUUGAUUCCGCUUACCACGACCUCGUGUGCCGUUACAAGGGUUCUCGUAACCCUCACGAUGUCGCAAGCCUCCACCUUGAGCUAAUUAAGAAGGGGUUCGUCGGGGAUUUGUUUUUGUCCAACAAUCUGAUCAACCUCUAUGCUAAAGCAGGCAAUCUGGCAUGCGCUUAUCAAGUAUUUGAUGAUAUGCCGGAAAAGAAUGCGGUUUCUUGGACUUGCCUGAUUGCUGGGCACACGCGGCAUGGGCUUCCCGACGAGGCUUGCUAUAUAUUCCGGUUGAUGAUUUUAAAUGGUUUUGAGCCCACUCAGUUCACCUUUGGAAGUGCUCUCCGGGCAUGCCAGGAUUUUGGUCCCGAUCGCCUAAGUCUUGGAACCCAGAUUCAUGGGCUGCUUUCUAAAACCCAGCACUCAUUGGAUACUGUGGUGUGCAAUGCGCUGAUGUCCAUGUAUGGAAGUUGUUGUUUGGGUUAUGCAUUCUAUGCUCAGCAAGUGUUUGAUAGUAUACCAAUCAAGAAUUCCAUAACGUGGAACUGCAUCAUUUCCGUGCACUCUAAUAAAGGGGAUGCGAUGGCUGCCUUUAAGCUCUUUUCAGAUAUGCAAAUGGGAAGUUCUGGGUUUGAUUCCAAACCCAAUGAGUAUACCUAUGGCAGCUUGAUAUCCAUGACAUACUCUUCCUCAUGUGGUAUGUGCCUUCUUGAGCAAAUGCUUGCAAGAGUGUCCAAGUCCGGGUUUUUGAGUGAUCUCUACGUGGGUAGUGCUCUGGUUAGCGCAUUUGCUCGAUUCGGGUUGCUUGAUAGAGCUAAAAAGAUCUUUCUACAAAUGGAUGAGAAGAAUGCUGUAUCUAUGAAUGGGUUGAUGGUGGGCCUAGUAAAGCAGAAUCUUGGACAAGAAGCAGUGGACGUUUUCAGAGAAACAAGGAAUUUGGUCAUGAUAAAUUAUGACUCUUAUGUGGUUCUGAUGAGUGCACUUGCUGAGUUUUCAGUACUGGAAGAAGGGAGAAGAAAGGGGAGGGAGGUUCAUGGACUUGUGGUUAGAGCUGGUCUUAUGGACUCUAAGGUUGCGAUUGGGAAUGGCUUACUUAACAUGUAUGCAAAAUGUGGUGCCAUUGAUGAAGCUUGUAGAGUCUUCAAGCUCAUGACAAUGAAAGAUCAGGUCUCAUGGAAUACAAUGAUCUCUGGCCUUGAUCAGAAUGGUUAUUUUGAAAAGGCUCUGAUGAGCUUCCUAAUGAUGCUACGUAAUGGUAUUAUGCCAUCGAAUUAUGCAAUAAUCAGUGCUUUGAGUUCAUGUGCAAGCCUGCGAGUUUUAAGUGCAGGUGUGCAACUGCAUUGUGAUGGCAUCAAACUUGGAUUUGAUUUGGAUGUUUCUGUUUCAAAUUCACUUCUUGCUAUGUAUGGAGAAUGCGGUGCUUUGUCUGAGUGCUGGAGAGUUUUUAGUUAUAUGCCUGACUAUGAUCAGAUUUCAUGGAAUUCCAUGAUUGGGGCAUUAGCCAGUUCUGAGGCAUCUCUACAGGAAUCUAUAGGGGUCUUCUUAGAUAUGAUGCGAAAUGGAUGGAAACCAAACAGAGUGACAUUCAUGAAUAUUUUUGCCGUUCUAUCUCCACUUUCAGUUCUUGAGUUAGGUAGGCAAGUUCAUGCUCUAGUCCUGAAACAUGGAGUGUCAGAGGACAGUGCUGUGGAAAAUGCCCUUCUGUCUUGUUAUGCUAAGUCUGGAGAGAUCGAUGACUGUGAGCGUCUCUUUUUUAAAAUGUCUGAUAGGAGGGAUGACGUAUCAUGGAAUUCUAUGGUUGCAGGAUAUGUUCAAAAUGGACUUCUGCAAAAGGCCAUGGACUUUGUUUGGUUCAUGAUUCAUAGUGGCCAGCAGAUGGACUGCUUCACGUUGGCAACAGUUCUGAGUGCAUGUGCCUCUGUAGCAGCACUAGAGCGUGGGUUGGAAAUUCAUGCCUUUGGAGUUAGGUGUUAUUUGGUAUCUGAUGUUGUAGUGGAGAGUGCACUUGUUGAUAUGUAUUCCAAGUGUGGAAGAGUAGACUAUGCCUCGAGGGUCUUCAGGUUCAUGAGUUUGAGAAAUGAAUUUUCAUGGAAUUCAAUGAUUUCAGCUUAUGCCCGACAUGGGCUUGGUGAGGAGGCUCUGGAGGUCUUCAAAGAAAUGCAAUGCAGGAAUCAACGACCGGAUCAUGUCACCUAUGUUGGGGUUUUAUCCGCCUGUAGUCAUGCUGGGUUAGUGGAGGAAGGUUUAAAAUACUUCGAAUCUAUGGGUGACUAUGGUUUAGUACCACGGAUGGAGCACUAUUCUUGUAUGAUCGAUCUUUUGGGACGAGCAGGUAAGCUUGAUAAGGUGGAAGAGUUCGUGAAAGGAAUGCCAAUGAGUCCCAAUGUUCUGAUAUGGAGGACAGUUUUAGUUGCUUGUCGUCAAUCAAAAGAUGAUACAAAGACAGAGUUAGCAAAACUAGCAUCAAAAAUGCUAGUGGAAUUAGAACCUCAAAAUCCAGUUAAUUAUGUACUUACUUCUAAUUUCUAUGCAUCCAAAGGGAGAUGGGAAGAUGUAGCAAAAGCACGCGCUGCUAUGCAAAGGGUGACAGUGAAGAAAGAAGCUGGUUGCAGCUGGGUCACCUUUAGGGAUGGAGUUCAUGUUUUUGUAGCUGGAGACAGAUCACACCCAAACACAGAAGAAAUCUAUGCCAAACUACGUGUUCUGAAUCAAAAGAUGAGAGAUGCAGGUUAUGUUCCUCAGACAGAAUUCGCUUUAUAUGAUCUUGACAUGGAGAACAAAGAAGAGUUGUUAAGCCAUCAUAGUGAGAAACUUGCUGUGGCGUUUGUUCUUACCCGCUCUUCAGGAACACCCAUACGUAUCAUGAAGAACCUUCGGGUUUGUGGGGAUUGCCACUCAGCAUUUAGAUAUAUUUCUAAGAUUGCUGGACGAGAAAUAAUUCUACGUGAUUCUAAUAGAUUUCAUCAUUUUGUGGAUGGGAAAUGUUCAUGCGGGGAUUACUGGUGACAGGACCUACUAUUCUCUUAAGUACAAGCUCCUAGGAGUUCUUUUGCCUGGUCUUCCAAAUAGAUCUGAAAAGUAAUGUGGAUGCUCAAAUGGAAAAGUGAGUUUUUAGGGUGCAUUAAGCUGCUUGAGGAAAUAUUAAGCAGCCACAUCUGAUUGUCGCAAGGCCAAGAAAGAGCAAGACUGUCUGAAAUCAAAUGUUAAGCAGCGGAAGAUGGCUGCCGGACUAUAAAGAUAGUGGUCAAGACAAAGAAACCUGCUUAAAAUAGAGAGUUCAAACAGAUAAAUUCGCAGCUAUAGAUGCCGAAUGCCAGCCCUCAUGCAUGGAACAAAUGUCUUCGGAUGACACAUUCAAUUAAAUGAUUCUGGUACACUUUCUGAAUAAUGUGCAUGUCAUGUGAUGGUUUAUUAUCCUGAGCUCAGGCUCAUUUCAUCUGUGAAAGAAAUCAUUUUAUGCAGUGAGCAAGGAAUGAUAACAUGUGGUCUAAAUGAGGAUGAUCUCAUGCAGAACUAACACAGGAAAAUGUAGCAACUUGCACUUAUUCUAACUUCCUAUUUAUAGGCACAAUAGAUGCAAGGUAUAAAUGAUUUAUAUAUGAAAUUUCUUUUCUUUAUGCAGCUGGGACAGGAUGCGAUUUGGCUGUUAGGUUGCUAACAAAUUAUGCAAUGAGUUUGGAUUUCUGUCAAUAGCAAGAGAUCCUUUUCUUUGGUUUGGUAUUUUACUCCUGGAUUGGAACUUCAUCAUCCUCUACUCAAAUUAUGAAGUCAAAUCUGUUAUACUCUAAGUAUCUUCUCUCCCUGUACUUGGCCUAAUAAAUUUUCUAACUGGUAUCUACUGCAUGCUAUUUUUUUGGCUGAAAUAUGUAUAGAUUUUUCAUGCUUAUGACAACAAUGAUACCAACAACCAAGUGCCGCUCCAUCAAGGCGAGGUCUUUUGUCAC
Non-coding RNA from Elaeis guineensis (African oil palm), 4223 nucleotides. The record is from RefSeq and is a predicted model, not a curated record. Lineage: Eukaryota; Viridiplantae; Streptophyta; Magnoliopsida; Arecales; Arecaceae.